CACUGAGCUAAAUCCCCGACCCAUUUCUGAUUUUUAUAAUGAACUCACUGAAGCCUUGAGCAAGAAAUAAAACACUGCCGGGGAUUUAGCUCAGUGGUUUCACUGCCUGCUGCGCAAGCACAAGGACCCGAGUUCGAUCCCUGGUACCAAAAAAAAAAAUUACAAGCUAUAAUAAUAGUGUAAUAAUGGCACAAACAGUGCUGUAGAGACUCAGAUGGCGUACCAUGCAGGCUGAACUACUACGCCCACUAGGUGACCAAAGACAGUCCAGUCCUCGAAAAGUAAAGUGUCAGUAAAUACUGGCUAGUGAGGCAAAGGACAACUCAGUAGCAUGUACCCAAUGAAUAUAGUUUACAAAACAGUAGGACAUGAGGGUCCAGGGAUUUAGCUCAGUGGUUCUGCCACCUGCCUUGCAAGCACAAGGUCCGGAGUUUGAUCCCUGGUACCAAAAAAAAAAAAAAAAAAGUAGGACAUGAAAAACCAGGACAUUUCCAUUUUAAAGCACUUUUAUUUAUUUAUUCUUUGUUUUUGUUUUGGGGUUUGUUUGAGACAGGGUCCACCAUGUACCCCAGGAGGAUCGCCUCAAGUUCAAGGCCAGUCCGGGCUACAUAGUGAGUUCAAGGCCAGCCUGAAUUACUUAGCAAGACCCUGUCUCAAAAAGAAAAAAACAGGGCCAGGGAUAUAGCUCAGUGGUGCCGCACCUGCCUGUCAAGCACAAGGUCCUGAGUUCGAUCCCUGGUACCGCAAAGAAAAAAUAAUGAUGAUUUUGUUGCUCUAGAACCUGAUCAAAGACAUCCAAACAUUCCAUUUGGAGAUGUGCUGAUGUUUGAGAAACUCUGGACUUUGGUAGGGACAGUGGGGGUCCACAGUGUUCCUGCCUGGAACUGUUCCCCUUCUCAUUCCUCCUGCCUAGCACUGUGGCGGUUCUGCCAGGACCAAACAAGACUAAGCUGCCGUGGUUGGCAGGAGGCUCACUCCACUCAGAGUGGUGAGUGAUGGCUGUGCCCAGCAGCAUGGAGCUGAAGCAGUGAUCUUGGUGCUGUGUGAGCAGGGAGGGCCCGGGGCCCCAGAAGCCCAAGGUUACAGCCAGGCAAGCAGUGCAGAGGCUGCACACGAGUACCAGCAAUCAGAAAGGGUCCAAGCCACUGGCACCCUUGGCCAUGCAUAUGCAGAAGUGAGGAAAUAAGGCUUGGCAAAGCAGGGUGUGUGUCGCAGUGGCAGAGCACUUGCCUAAGGUGCAAGUACCCGGGUUCAAAGCGCAGCACCAACAAAAACACAAGGUGUGUGUGUUGCGGGGGGAGGUGCUCAGCAAAAAGGAGAAGUCGAGACAGAUCUGAGGUUGGCCUUGAGUGCUUACAUCACUCACCUCGAACUUCGACAGAUCCAUCAACAGGGCAGAGAUCACACUGACUGGUAUUUGAGCACAACCUCUGCAGUUACUGGUUGGCCACUACCCUCCACAGACAGGGCAUCCCCCUAAAAGUAGACUAAAGAUAAACACAAGAUGAGCUGGGCGUGCUGGCACAUUCCCCAAAUCCCAGCACUUAGGAGGCUGAGGCAGGAGAAUCACAAAUUCCAGUCCCACCUGGGCAACUUGGCAAAGCCUUGUUUCAAAAAAUUAAAAAAGGGCUGGGGAUGUAACUUGGUGCAAAGGCCCUGGGGUACAAUCCCCAGUACGGAAGAAUGAAAAUUUAAAACUAAAUAAAACUCCAUACAGAUUAUAAAAAAGAACCAAGCAAAAAUUCUGAUGUUGAAAAAAGUACAAUCAUACAUGAAAAGUUAUCUAGAGAGGCUCGGAUCUAGAUCUGAGAUGGCAGAAGAAAAUAAGUACACCUGAAGAUAGACUAAUAGGAAUUAUUCAGUCAGGGGAACAAAUGGAAGAGAGUGAGCAGAAGAGAAUCCUGGAGACCGGGACAUCAAGCAUGUGUGCAAGGAAGAAAAAAAAUUUGAGGAAAUCAUGGCAGAAAACUUCUCAAAUUUUUUUUUAAAAACCCAUUAACCUAAACAGCCAAGAAACUCGACAAAAUUCAGGAACGAUGAAUAUAAAGAGAUCCCCACCUAAGUACACCAUAUUUAAACUGCUGGAUGCCAAAAGCAAAGAGAAAAACUGAAAGCAGCGGGAGAAAUAAGACCUGUCACCAGAGGAGACCACCAGCGUGAGCGACCGCUGACUGCUCACCCGGGAUGAGGGUCCAGACUGACCACGGAUUCCAAGAUGGAAUAAACCCAAAGCAAACGGCCAGCCGCAAAACACAGCCAUAUCAACAUCAAUCAGAAGAGGGCUGGAGUCGCUAUCUAAAUACCAAAUAGAACAGACUUUUGGGUAAAUAGUACUAGACAGAGCUGCUUCAUAAUAAGAGGACCAGUGCAUCAGCAAAAUGUAACAACUGCACCCAGUAAGAGCCUCAGAUGCUCUAAAGCACUAGCGAUGGCCAGAGGCUACGCCUGGCGUGACUUUAGGGUUGGGCCUAACUUAAUCUGUUAAACCUCGUACGGAAAUACUGGAAUUUAAUUUUUUAGAUUAGUAUUUCUUUGAGCACAGUGCCCUCUACUGGUACUCAUAUAAAUUAAAACGCAGUUUGUGCCUGUUUGAUGAAAGAAAGGUUGUUUGAUUAGGUAAGGAAGAAUACAUAGAAAUCUCCCUUGAGUCACAAGUGAGUCUUGCUGGCUGACUUAUCACAGCAGCAGUAAACCAGGCUAAGCUAUACAGAGGCAGAGGUUCCUAAUAAGGAAACAGGAGCCUAUAGUGGUGGUUUGCAAUCCUGGUUGCAUAAUACCAGGGAGGUUAUUACACAGUUAAUGCCCAGGCUUCCCUCUUAGUGAUUUUGAUUUCGUUAGAAUCUCUUUAAGGUCCCCGGAUGAUCCUAGUACAAAAAAAAAAAAACUAGGGAUGAGAAGUACUGCCAUACAGUAAAAGCUUUCCCUGUCUCACUGCGCUCACCAAUAUUGGUAAGAAAUUAAUGAGUUUGGCCAGAAUUUGCUUCCUAAUUUACAAAGCACUCUGUCAAGGAAUGACUCAUAGAGAAAAGUCUUACCAAACCAGAAGAAUGUCUUGGCCAGGCCCCGGCAAUGCUACCAAUAAUCUUGGCAUCCAAGGGCAGAGAUAAUUAUUCUGAAGUUAUUGGUUGUUGUUUUGAGACAGGACUCCCUCUGUAGUCCAGGCUGGCCUUGAACUUACUUGGUAGCUCAAUUUAGCCUCAAACGCAUGGUGAUCCUCCUGCCUCUCAGCGUUAUUCUGAAGAUUUUCAAGUUGAAGAUGGCUGGGAGUGUGCAUAUAUGUAAUUCUAGCACCCUGGGAGGCUGAGGCAGAAUAAUACCAAAUUUGAGCCCAGCUUGAGCAAAUUAGGAUUUAGCAAGACACUGUCUCAAAAUAAAGAAAUUUUUUAAAAGGCCAAGAUGUGGUUCAGUACAAAGGACCUGGUUUAAAUCCCCAGUACUGCAAAGAAGAGAGGGGAGGAAAGAGGAGAGAGAAGGAACACAGCUAGCUGCAUUGCACAAGACACAUGGAAGGCACACAGAGCUUCUAUGCUGUCUCUAGGCCCGCCGCUCUCCAGCUACUCAGCUAGCCACCAGCUCCCUGGCCUUUGGGAUCUUAUGGAGUCUUGGGGUCUUGGGGUUUUAUGGAGUUUCAUGGCACAGGCUUAAUUAAAUCACUGGCCACUGAGAUCAGUUGGGACCUGCCCCCACCCACAGGCCGGAUGGUGGGGUUGAAAGUCCUUCGCUUCUAAUAGUGCCUUCGUCUUUCCAGCUAUCUAGGGGUUCCCAGACACUGAGCUAUACACCCCCUCCCUCUGUCUAAGACAUUGAGGCUGGGCUUGAACUUUUGAUCCAGCUCGCUCAGCCUCCCAGAUGGCUAGGAUUACAGGUAUGUUGUGUCCAGGGUGAGCAGCUGUCUAGGAUCAAAAGCUCAGCACCAAUAAUGAAUUAGAGACGGAGUUUACAAAAGGAAGGUGAUUUAUUUGUAGGGAGGAAAAAGCAGCAGACAGUAAACUGUCCCACAGAUGGGGCGGGGACUAUGGAAAGGUGGAUACCCGAGCUCUUAUCCCUGGCUACUUAUUAGGACUAGUGACCCUUUCCUCCAUGUGGGCACCUGGAGCUUGUCAAAAUCUGCCUGGCUGCCUGGCUGUCUUUAGCCCUAACCUGGGCACCUUUGCCCUCAGGCGCAUUCUUUCUGGUGGGCUUCAUUUGAUUCCUUCCUGCCCUUUUGUCAUGCAUACGUUGGUGAGGGGUAGAGAAAAGCAGUAUGAAGUUAGUAACUAGGGGGAUGUGUAUACCUAGUGCAGUAAUAUGGUGACCCUGAAGUAUGUGAAUUAGCCAGAAACUCCCCAAUAGCCUGUGCCUGAACUUUACCCCCUUUUCCUCCCCAGAUUGCUUGUUCAAAAUGAUUAGUUAACCAGCACAUAGCUUACCUUGUGGUUGAGAUCAAAGGACAGAACAUAUCUUGUCUUGUGGUUAAGAACAAAGGACAGGGCAUGUUAUUCUGCGGCCCUAACCAUAAAGAUAGGAAUUUCCUGCCAGAUCCCAAUAUUGGAUUUUAAUCUAACUUGCUAUCUGCUUCUAUAGCCCUGUGCUUGCUCAAAGAUGAGACCAUGGCAUUCUAUUGUGUGGUUUUUCCCUUUAAAAACUGGGCUUCCCUGCUUGCUCAGUACCAAAAGGAGUUAAGAGUGAGAGCUCACCUUUUGGUCCCCGGCUAUUAAAGGACUUUUAAUUUGGACAUUUUUUGUAGCAUGAUUCUUUUCGCUGAAACGGCUGUAACAACCCUAACCCUAUACUGAGAAAUAUAUACAUAUGUAUAUAAAUGCACGGGUGUAUUUUCACACGCUAAGAGUUAGGUGCCGCCCCUUGUCUCCUAUGCAUUUUAUUAGAGGUGGGGGAAGCGGGGCAGUUAUGCUUCUGGUUUCUGGUUUUUCAUGCUUAUGGCUCCCUCAGAGCUUCGUCUAUCAGCUCUUUCUCUGGUAAAUUCUUAUGUUAAUUGCCUUUCUAGGUCUGGUUUCUUUCCCAUUGUCCUUUUAACCAGCUCAAAUCUAACUGCAGAGGCAAAAGUCGCUUUGAGUAAGAUUUUCUAUUUUUUUUUUAUUUUAGUAAGAUUUUCUAUUGAUCUCUUUAAUAACUAACACCUGAUGGGACCCUUAUUCUAUUUGUUCCCUGCCUACAGGUAGGUAUAUACCACCAUGCCAACUACAUCUACUGCAUACAUUUUCUUUCCCGAC
This 5210-nucleotide long non-coding RNA is filed under the name Heterocephalus glaber (naked mole-rat). RNAcentral's name for it is "lncRNA (ENSHGLG00100040497.1)". The record is from RNAcentral. Lineage: Eukaryota; Metazoa; Chordata; Mammalia; Rodentia; Bathyergidae.